AAAGAUGACCCAAAUAUCCACAUUCUUAAAAGAAUCCACACCCCCCCCCCAUCCCCCAUCCCCCAUGGCAGGAGAAACAGUCAAGUUUUUCCUUCCCAUCACUCAAUGGCUCAAUCGCAUCACUCUCCCGGCAACACCGUAACGAGGAGCAACUUGCCGUUUGGAUAUAUCCUAGCUGUGUUUGUGCCCUCACUCAUGGUCCAGACUUUUUUCAAAUAGGACAUGUAGUUUGUCUGCAGCGAGUGUUUUGGUAGAAACUGCGCCUCCCAUUCAUUAUAAUGGGAAAUGACCACAGACAAGUGCGCACACCAUCUUUGGACCUUGAGUGUGACGCGAUCGGGAGGGGGAGGCGGUCGCGCUGGGGGCGGCGCAACGCGGCUCGGGCCCGACAGUGCCCCACCGGGGUCCUAGUGUUAUUAUUAGGGCCCGAGCCAGCUGCAGAGCAGCCGGGCGUAGGCCCUGUUAUUCCUGUAGUGGUUUUUCUUUGUUUCUUUUUAGGGCCCGAGCCAGCUGCAGAGCAGCCGGGCGUAGGCCCUAUUAUUCCCCAAGUGGUUUUUCUUUGUUUCUUUCUUUAGGGCCCGAGCCAGCUGCAGAGCAGCCGGGCGUGGAGCCCUAUUAUUCCCCAAGUGGUUUUUCUUUGUUUCUUUCUUUAGGGCCCGAGCGUAGCUGCUAAGCAGCUGCGAGAGCCCUCUUGUUCCUGCAUGUUUCCUUCUUUCGUUAUUAGGGCCCGAGCCAGCUGCAGAGCAGCCGGGCGUAGAGCCCUAUUAUUCCUGUAUAGGUUUUUCUUUCUUCUUUCUUUCUUUCUUUCUUCUUAUUUUUCCUCCCCUUUGAAGGGGAAAAUGGCCCACUUCCCACUGGCGAAAACUCAUGAAAUUUGGCAGGACGAAUGGGCCUGGUGAAAAAUUCGAUAUUCUGAAGUCGCCCAAACAAUAAAAUGCAAAAUGGCUCCAUAGCGCCCCCUAAGGUGAAAAUUCACACUAUUGACUGUCACGCCUUUACGCUUUGUAAUAUUGACACAAAAAUUGACACACACAUGUAUCUCAAUAAGAUCUACAAAAAAGUCAGUGCGGGCGUAUCUGUCAAAUGUACGGUUAAAGGGUUAUUUUGCAUUUUUUGCCGAUCCGCACACAUUGGAAUUUCGCUAACUCCUCCGAAGGCUUUCGUUCCACCGGCACCACAUUUGCUCAGGCCAAUCUACACCCCAUGGCCAUUAAAAGUUGUACAAAUCAUGACGCUGCACCCCACGGUUUACGUUCUAGGGGGCGCCAAAGAUAACCCAAAAAUCCACAGUCUUAAAAGUCUUAUAACUUUUUAUUUUUGUCCUCACUGGCCUCCAAGUUCUCUAGGAUGAUGCAAUGUCCAGCCAUCAACACAUUUGUGAAGGAAUUUUUACUCGCCAAAAGAGCGCCCCCCAUGGCAGGAGAAAAAAGUCCAUUUUUUCUUGUCUCCUAAGGCGAAAAUUCACACUAUUGACUGUCACGCCUUUACGCUUUGUCAUAUUGACACAAAAAUUGACACACACAUGUAUCUCAAUAAGAUCUACGAAAAAGUCAAUGCGAGCGUAUCUGUUCAAUGUACGAUUAAAGGGCUAUUUCGCAUUUUUUGCCGAUUCGCACACAUUGGAAUGUGGCUAACUCCUCCUAAAUCUUUUGUCCCAUCGGCUUCAAAUUUGCUCAGGUCAAUCUACACCCCAUGGCCAUUCAAAGUUGUACAAAUCAUGACGCUGCACCCCACAGUUUACGUUCUAGGGGGCGCCAAAGAGGACCCAAAUAUCCACAUUUUUAAAAGUCUUAUAACUUUUUAUUUUUGUCCUCACUGGCCUCCAAGUUUUCUAGGAUGAUGCAAUGUCCAGCCAUCAACACAUUUGUGAAGGAAUUUUUACUCCCCAAAAGAGCGCCCCCCAUGGCAGGAGAAAAAGUCAAGUUUUUCCUGCCCAUCGCUCAAUGGCUCAAACGCAUCGCUCUCUCGGCAAAACCGAAAGGAGGAGCAACUUGCCAUUUGGAUAUAUACUAGCUGUGUUUGUGCCCUCACUCAUGGUCCAGACUUUUUUCAAAAAGGACAUGGAGUUUGUCUGCAGCGAGCGUUUUGGUAGAAACUGCGCCUCCCAUUCAUUAUAAUGGUAAAUGACCACAGACAAGUGCGCACACCAUCUUUGGACCUUGAGUGUGACGCGAUCGGGAGGGGUAGGCGGUCGCGCUGGGGGCGGCGCGACACGGCUCGGGCCCGCCAGUGCCCCAACGGGGCCCUAGUUAUUUUUCCUCCGCUUUAAACUGGAAAAUGGCCCACUUCCCACUGGCGAAAACUCAGGAAAUUUGGCAGGACGACCGGGCCUGGUGAAAAAUUCGAUAUUCUGAAGUCGCCCAAACAAUAAAAUGCAAAAUGGCUCCAUAGCGCCCCCUAAGGUGAAAAUUCACAUGACGGCUGUACGCUUUGUCAUAUUGACAGAAAAAUUGACACACACGUGUAUCUCAAUAAGAUCUACAAAAAAGUCAGUGCGGCCGUAUCUGUCAAAUGUACGGUUAAAGGGUUAUUUUUCAUUUUUUGCAGAUCUGCACACAUUGGAAUUUCGCUAACUCCUCCGAAGGCUUUCGUUCGACCGGCACCACAUUUGCGCAGGCCAAUCUACACCCCAUGGCCAUUAAAAGUUGUACAAAUCAUGACGCUGCACCCCACGGUUUACGUUCUAGGGGGCGCCAAAGAUAACCCAAAAAUCCACAUUCUUAAAAGUCUUAUAACUUUUUACUUUUGUCCUCACUGGCCUCCAAGUUUUCUAGGAUGAUGCAAUGUCCAGCCAUCAACACAAUUUUGAAGGAAUUUUUACUCCCCAAAAGAGCGCCCCCCAAUGGCAGGAGAAAAAGGUCCAUUUUUUCUUGUCUCCAAAGGUCAAAAUACACAUUGUCGAGUGUCACGUUUGUAUGCUUUGUCAUAUUGACACAAAAUUUGACAAUCACAUGUAUCUCAAUAAGAUCUACGAAAAAGUCAAAGGGCAUGUAUCUGUCAAAUGUACGGUUAAAGGGCUAUUUUGCAUUUUUUGCCGAUCCGCACACAUUGGAAUUUCACUAACUCCUCCGAAGGCUAUCUUUCCACCGGCACCAAAUUUGCUCAGGCCAAUCUACACCCCAUGGCCAUUAAAAGUUGUACAAAUCAUCUUGCUGCACCCCACGUUUUGGGUUCUAGGGGGCACCAAAUAUAACCCAAAAAUCCACAUUCUUAAAAGUCUUAUAACUUUUUAUUUUUUUCCAUACUGGCCUCCAAGUUUUUUAGGAUGAUGCAAUGUCCAGCCAUCAACACAUUUGUGAAGAAAUUUUUACUCCCCAAAAGAGCGCCCCCCAUGGCAGGAGAAAAAAGUCCAUUUUUUCUUAUCCCGAAAGGUGAAAAUACACGUUGUUGAGUGUCACGCCUUUACGCUUUGUCAUAUUGACAAAAAAAUUGACAAUCAUGUGUAUCUCAAUUAGAUCUACGAAAAAGUCAAAGAGCGCGUAUCUGUAUAAUGUACGGUUAAAGGGCUAUUUUGCAUUUUUUGCCGAUUCGCACACAUUGGAAUGUGGCUAUCUCCUCCUAAGGCUUUCGUCCCACCGAUACCAAAUUUGCUCAGGGCAAUCUACACCCCAUGCCCAUUCAAAGUUGUAAAAAUCAUGACGCUGCACCCCACGGUUUACGUUCUAGGGGGCGCCAAAGAUGACCCAAAAAUCCACAUUCUUAAAAGUCAUUUUGGCCACUGCAGGAGUACAGAGUACUGCAGUUCUAGGGGGCGCCAAAGAUGACCCAAAAAUCCACAUUCUUAAAAGUCUUUUUUGGCCACUGCAGGAGUACAGAGUACUGCAGGAUACACACACAUAUACACACACGCCAACAUACACACACACACACACACACACAGACACACACACACACACUCAGAGUCUGGUUUUUAGCACCUUCAAAAACAUGCUGUUUACAUAUUUGACAAGAAUGCAGAGGCUUCCUUUUGCCCCUGAAAAAAAUCAAAUUUCAAACACAACUUGACUGUUCAUUUCUCCAAAAGACAACCAUGAAGCUCCAUUUCAAACCUGAAGCAGAUAGUUGGUGCAUGUGUACAGUAACCUGAGGGGAGUGAGGUGACUAUUUCUGAGGAGAACAUGAGCAGUAAGAUUCACCUUGGAGCUAGAACAGGGACGUGCACAUGAUUAUACAGGGGCAGGGGCUCAAGUUUUUUCCAGUCAUUUAUACAAUAUGGAAAUUAAUGUGAAAUUAAACCACAAAUAUGUGUGAUGAACUGUUUUUAAAACUUAAACUUCAAAUAAAAAUUGUAAACUUCAAAACAUAUGCAAAUUUUUAACAAAGAACAUAGUAAUUUACCUCUAUUUACAUCAAAAUGCAGGCAAUGGCCCAGGCGUUCUUUGUAAAAUUAUUUACAAAACACUGUAUAGUCUCACAAAUGUCACUUUUUAUUUAUGCCACUACAAAAAAACAUGAUGUAAAUGAUGCAUGAUGUAAAACAUGAUGUAAAAAACUUGUGUAGAUCCUCCUCUAUGUCAGUCCAUGUGUAAUUUUUCCAUAAUUCUUUGUUUUUUGCAGCAUUUUUGUUAGUGUAACUGCAGAUUGUGCUGACAGUGUCUAUGGCACAAAAAAAAAAAAAAUUUAAAAUGCCUCAACAUGAACCCCUGGUGGUCUCUGAGGGUGAAACCUGCUAACUGCUGCAGCUCUGUCAGCUUCAGUCUCCCAUGCAGAGCUCUGAGCGCAUGUGUAGCUCUGCACCCUUAGCAGCGUUGCUAACUCCUCAGUAAGGAAAGCCUGCUUCAUGUCAGAGUCUCUAAACUCCAGAAGAAGUCGAUAAAAGUCCCUUUCUUUCUAAAAAAAAGUCGUUAGGGGGUCUGAAAAGUCAUUGAAUCUAACAACAAAGUUGCUAGGUUUGCAACUACGUGUCCCAGACUGCAUCCCUGCUGAGAGUCCCUCCCUCCCUUCUCAUGUUGCAGGAAGAACGUAAGCGCCCGCCCCUUGUCAAUCAGUCACCAUAUAAUUUUGGAUUGGUUGUUGUGGUGAAGUUUUCCACCAAUAGGAGAGAUGUUGUGGUGUGUUUUUUUUUUUUUUGGCAAGCCUUUUCCGCCUGUAAGACCUGUCGCUAAUGUCUGCAUGCUAUGUUUUCCUGUCUCAUACAGCGCGAUCGAGCGCCGAACAUGAUCAAAAUAAGCAGAAAAAAAGUAUCGCGGACAUAAUUUAUCAUAACUCUGGUUUUAUUUGGCCUAUCAACACAAUUUAAAAACUGGUAUAUAGGUUGAGGUCCUCACUUUUGAGAUAAGUUGAAACGGAGAGUCAACGAGGCUCCGUCUUGCAGCUACAUCCGGUUAAAUAUGUCAUGUGACUUGAACGCACACAUAGACACACACACACGCACGCGCACACACACACACACACACACACACACACUUAGAGUCUGGUUUUUAGCACCUGCAAAAACAUGCUAUUUACAUAUUUGACAAGAAUGCAGAGGCUCCUUUUGCCCCUGAAAAAAAUCAAAUUUCAAACACAACUUGACUGGUCAUUUCUCCAAAAGACAACCAUGAAGCUCCAUCCAAACCUGAAGCAGGCAGUUGGUGCAUGUGUACAGUAACCUGAGGGGAGUGAGGUGACUGCUUCUGAGGAGAACAUGAGCAGUGAAGAUUCACCUUGGAGCUAGAACAGAGACAUGCACAUGAUUAUACAGUAGCAGGGGCUCAAAGGGGGGGGGGGGGGGAGACGUGACACGGCUCGGGCCCGCCAGUGCCCCAACGGGGUCCUAGUUUCUUUCUUUCUUUCUUCUUUUUCCUCCCCUUUGAACUGGAAAAUGGCCCACUUCCCACUGGCGAAAACUCAUGAAAUUUGGCAGGACGACCGGGCCUGGUGAAAAAUUCGAUAUUCUGAAGUCGCCCAAACAAUAAAAUGCAAAAUGGCUCCAUAGCGCCCCCUAAGGUGGAAAUUCACACUAUUGACUGUCACGCCUGUACGCUUUGUCAUAUUGACACAAAAAUUGACACACAUAUGUAUCUCAAUAAGAUCUACAAAAAAGUCAGUGCGGCUGUAUCUGUCAAAAUUACGGUUAAAGGGUUAUUUCGCAUUUUUUGCCGAUCCGCACACAUUGGAAUUUCGCUAACUCCUCCGAAGGCUUUCGUACCACCGGCACCACAUUUGCCCAGGCCAAUCUACACCCCAUGGCCAUUAAAAGUUAACAAAAUCAUGACGCUGCACCCCAAGGUUUAGGUUCUAGGGGGCGCCAAAGAUAACACUAAAAUCCACAUAUUUAAAAGUCUUAUAACUUUUUAUUUUUGUCCUCACUGGCCUCCAAGUUUUCUAGGAUGAUGCAAUGUCCAGCCAUCAACACAUUUGUGAAGGAAUUUUUACUCCCCAAAAGAGCGCCCCCCCAUGGCAGGAGAAAAAAGUCAAUUUUUUCUUGUCCCCUAAGGUGAAAAUACACAUUGUUGAGUGUCACGCCUAUACGCUUUGUCAAAAUGACACAAAAAUUGACACACACAUGUAACUCAAUAAGAUCUACGAAAAAGUCAAUGCGCGCGUAUCUGUCAAAUGUACGGUUAAAGGGUUAUUCCGCAUUUUUUGCCGAUCCGCACACAUUGGAAUGUGGCUAACUCCUCCGAAGGCUUUAGUUCCACCGGCACCACAUUUGCUCAGGCCAAUCUACACCCCAUGGCCAUUAAAAGUUAUUCAAAUCAUGACGCUGCACCCCACGGUUUACGUUCUAGGGGGCGCCAAAGAUAACCCUAAAAUCCACAUAUUUAAAAGUCUUAUAACUUUUUAUUUUUGCCCUCACUGGCCUCCAAGUUUUCUAGGAUGAUGCAAUGUCCAGCCAUCAACACAUUUGUGAAGGAAUUUUUACUCCCCAAAAGAGCGCCCCCCAUGGCAGGAGAAAAAAGUCCAUUUUUUCUUGUCCCCUAAGGUGAAAAUACACAUUGUAGAGUGUCACGCCUGUACGCUUUGUCAAAAUGACACAAAAUUUGACAUACACGUGUAUUUCAAUAAGAUCUUCGAAAAAGUCAAUAGCCACGUAUAUGUAAAAUGUACAGUUAAAGGGUUAUUUCACAUUUUUUGCAGAUCCGCACACAUUGGAAUUUGGCUAACUCCUCCUAAGGCUUUCGUCCCACUGACACCAAAUUUGCUCAGGCCAAUCUACACCCCAUGGCCAUUCAAAGUUGUAAAAAUCAUGACGCUGCACCCCACGGUUUACGUUCUAGGGGGCGCCAAAGAUGACCCAAAUAUCCACAUUCUUAAAAGAAUCCACACCCCCAUCCCCCAUCCCCCAUGGCAGGAGAAACAGUCAAGUUUUUCCUUCCCAUCACUCAAUGGC
RNAcentral lists this long non-coding RNA (7315 nucleotides) under Xyrichtys novacula (pearly razorfish). The record is from RNAcentral. Lineage: Eukaryota; Metazoa; Chordata; Actinopteri; Labriformes; Labridae.